GCCUUCGUGGUGUAGUGGUCAGCCUGCUCGGCAUGUAUUCGAGAGGUCAGUGGUUCAAUUCCCGGCGAGGGCA
Non-coding RNA from Stegodyphus mimosarum, 73 nucleotides. NCBI's taxonomy places the organism in Eukaryota, Metazoa, Arthropoda, Arachnida, Araneae, Eresidae. The record is from Rfam.